This 312-nucleotide long non-coding RNA is filed under the name Gallus gallus (chicken). Lineage: Eukaryota; Metazoa; Chordata; Aves; Galliformes; Phasianidae. The record is from RNAcentral.
GAGGAUUCCUUGGACUGGAAGAUGCUUGCCCCGUAGGGCGUGCGCCAGGCGUUGAGCAGGUUGUCCUUCCCCGUGCUCACGAACCAUUUACCGCAGUAGGCGAACUUGAGGGACAGGACGCAGCUCUCGUGGAGGUGCAGCUGGUACUUGUCCGGCUUGGUGUGGUGCAGCACUUCCACGUUGCUGCUCUCCAUGCCCACCGCCAGCCACUCUCCCGUGGGGCAGUACCCCAGCGAGAAGAUCUGGGAGGUGAAGUCGUGCUGCUGCAGCUGCCGCCCCUCCCGCAGGUCCCAGCAGCGCACCGUGUUGUCC